UUAGCAUCAGAGAAUGAAUAUGAGAAAAACAGAGAUGAAUUGAAGAAAAAGAAAGCUCCUGGUCCAGGCAAACUUCCAGCAACACUUUCCUCCAAAUAUCCAGAAGAUGACCCAGACUACUGUGUGUGGGUCCCACCUGAAGGCCAAAGUGGAGAUGGCAGGACCCAUCUGAAUGACAAGUAUGGCUAUUGACUGCUUCAGAAUCCUAAAGGAAGACCUUGUGGACCAUGUGACAUGGGAUAUGUAGGGUCCUAUAUCAAGUUGAAUGUCCAGAGAAGGAGUUCAGGUGAUCUUUUGUAAAAUCUGGUGACUGGCCUUUUCUUCCAUUCUCAUGGCUCCCUAAAUUUAUCUACUCAUCUGAUUCUCGUUUAAAAGUGUUUGUGUAUGUAUGUAAAAAGAAACCAUAUAUUUUGAGAAUUGGUAAAGUGAGAUAUGACUCUAUUAAAAGAGAAGGUGAAGAUGUCUCA
Non-coding RNA from Leptonychotes weddellii (Weddell seal), 467 nucleotides. The record is from RefSeq and is a predicted model, not a curated record. Lineage: Eukaryota; Metazoa; Chordata; Mammalia; Carnivora; Phocidae.